Limulus polyphemus (Atlantic horseshoe crab) is the source of this 730-nucleotide long non-coding RNA. RefSeq lists it as uncharacterized. Lineage: Eukaryota; Metazoa; Arthropoda; Merostomata; Xiphosura; Limulidae. The transcript is spliced from 3 exons. The record is from RefSeq and is a predicted model, not a curated record.
AAUAAUAUGUUAAAACAAGUCAAAUGUAUAUACAAAUGUUCGUUACAUAGUUAGUCACCACAGUUAGUCAUCACUCAUCAAUAUAAAAUGAUUAUUGCUUUACACUGAUAUUUUGAAGGCUUCAAUACUUAUGUAUAGUCUCCCAACAUUCAGAUUCGAUAACAUAAACUUCUAUAUAAUGCAAUUAAAAGUUGUGGCACCAAGUUGUCAGAUUUAGUAGUCCAGCUCAGUUUUUGGUGGUCUGGGGUGACCAGAUCAUCAGUUAAAGACUGCACUGCUUUUAUCUGCACACAAUAUUAUGUUAAUUGGGCAGCUACUGUUCCUUGUUCUGCAUUCUUCCUUUAGAUUACUAGUGGCAAGUCCUAAUGAGGCUGGAUAAAAUCAUCGCCAACCAAAAAAAGCACACAGAACUUCUCCAAUAACUUGCCAGUAAAAAGAGAGCGGUUUCACAAGCCCAGGCACAAGAGGUGGAAGUAGUGGAGGACAUGGUGGAGGAACAAAUGGAUGCAUGGGAAGACCUGGACCAAAUCUGUACCAAGCUAUCAGAAAAUCCAUGCCAGAGAAAAAAAAAACUGAGGCAUGUAGAAACAUUCACCCCAAAUGCCAGGAUGCUGAGGUUGAGCUGCAGAUGGUAGAAACUCUUAAGUGUGCCCUAAGCAAGUGUGGUGGAUACCUGUUUCUGGCACAAACUGCUUUGAACUCUCUCAAGACACCCACAUCAACUCCCACA